CUGCUCCUCCUUCCCAGCCCCAAAUUCCCAAUUUUCCCCUCUCCCAGAUUUUCCCUCGGCUCCGGCCGCCACCUGCCGGCGAUUCCCACCCGGAAUUCCCGCCUGGAAUUCCCUCCCCUCUUCCUCUUCCUCCUCUCUCCACGUUUUUCCCCCAUCCCAUCCCAAAAAUUCCUCCUUUUUCCCUCAUUUUCCUCCCCUUUCCCAGGUUUUUCCCUGCUUUUUUUUCCCUUUUCCCAGAUUUUUUCCCCAUUCCAGCCCAAAUCCUCUCCCUCUUCCCCAUUUUUUCCCAUUUUUUCCCAUUUUUUCCCCAUUUUUUUCCCAUUUUUUCCCAUUUUUUCCCAUUUUUUUCCCCAUUUUUUCCCUCAUUUUCCCCCUUUUUUCCCAAUAUUUCCCAAUUUUUCCCAUUUUCCCCUCAUUCCAUCCCAAAUCCUCUCCCUUUUCCCCAUUUCCCCCCAUUUUUUCCCAUUUUCCCCCAGUUUUUCCUACUUUUUCCCCCAGUUUUUCCCAGUUUUCCUCACAUUUUGUCCCAUUUUCCCCCAUUUUUCCCCUUUUUUCCCAAUUUUACCCAAUUUUUCCCAGUUUUUCCCCCAUUUUUCCCCCCAUUUUUCCCAUUUCCCCCCCAUUUUUCCCAGUUUUCCUCCCUUUUUUUCCCAGUUUUCCAGUUUUUCCCCCAGUUUUCCCCAGUUUUCCCCAUUUUUCCCAGUUUUCCUCCCAUUUUUUCCCAGUUUCUCCCCGUUUUUCCCACUUUUUCCCCCAGUUUUCCCCAGUUUUUCCCAGUUUUCCUCCCAUUUUUCCCAGUUUUCCUCCCAUUUUUUCCCAGUUUAUCUCAGUUUUCCUCCCAGUUUCCCCCAGUUUUUCCCCAUUUUUCCCAUUUUUCCCCCAUUUUUCCCCAUUUUUCCCCAUUUUUCCCAUUUUCCCCACAUUUUUCCCAUUUUUCCCCAUUUUACCCCAUUUUUCCCAUUUUCCCCCCAUUUUUCCCCAUUUUUCCCCCAUUUUUUCCCAUUUUUCCCCAUUUUUUCCCCAUUUUUCCCCAUUUCCCCCCAUUUUUUCCCAUUUUUUCCAUUUUUCCCCCCUGUUUUCCCCAUUUUUCCCCCAUUUUUCCCCAUUUUUCCCACUUUUCCCCUCUUUCCCGCAGCCUCAUGGAUCGGGAGGUCGCUCUGCUGGCCGAGAUGGACAAAG
This 1179-nucleotide long non-coding RNA is filed under the name Cyanistes caeruleus (blue tit). RNAcentral's name for it is "lncRNA (ENSCCEG00000003662.1)". Lineage: Eukaryota; Metazoa; Chordata; Aves; Passeriformes; Paridae. The record is from RNAcentral.